RNAcentral lists this ribosomal RNA (545 nucleotides) under Atheliaceae sp. T859. RNAcentral describes it as "eukaryotic LSU rRNA". The stretch from base 214 to 368 matches the Rfam family "5.8S ribosomal RNA". The record is from RNAcentral. Lineage: Eukaryota; Fungi; Basidiomycota; Agaricomycetes; Atheliales; Atheliaceae.
AAGUCGUAACAAGGUUUCCGUAGGUGAACCUGCGGAAGGAUCAUUAUUGAAUUAGCGAGGGCUGUCUGCUGGCCCCUUCGGGGGCAUGUGCACGUCCGAGCCGUUUAAAUCAACACCUGUGAACUCACCGUAGGCCUUCGGGCUUAUGUAUCAUAUAUAUAUAUACUCAGAUCAUAGAAUGUACAUUUUGCCUUUAAAAAAGCAAUCAAAUACAACUUUCAACAACGGAUCUCUUGGCUCUCGCAUCGAUGAAGAACGCAGCGAAAUGCGAUAAGUAAUGUGAAUUGCAGAUUUUCAGUGAAUCAUCGAAUCUUUGAACGCACCUUGCGCUCCUUGGUAUUCCGAGGAGCAUGCCUGUUUGAGUGUCAUUAAAUCCUCAACCCCGUCCGUCGGUCGGGGCUUGGACUUUGGAGCGUGCUGGCGAAGGUCGGCUCCUCUUUAAAUGCAUCRGCGGAGAAAAACAAACCUUUUUUCCCCCUUCAGCGUGAUAACUGCGUUGCGCUGUGGUCGCGAAAGGGUCCGCUCAUAAUCGUCCUCGGACAAAC